UAGGGAGACCUGCUAGAUUUCCACCGAAACCCAAAAAUUAAUCGGGGAAAUCAGCUAUCCCAAGGUCGUUACGAGACCGGAUAAUUUCUGGCUUUCAAACUCUUUGUUCGGUUCAGCAUCAUGUUUUGAUGAACAUGAUGCUAGACAUUAAAAUCGGGAACUAAAACACAGCAACUUAUCUGAAGUCAUCUAUAUAGAGACCAGAAAGACUGCUGGAUUUUAGCCAGCAAUGAACCUUGAAAACUGCAUAAAGAAAAGAAUCAAAGGGAAAACCUUUUAAAUCCAUCGUGAUUUAGAAGGCGUCCAAAAAAGAAGCCCAAAUUGU
This 325-nucleotide unclassified non-coding RNA is filed under the name Kamptonema cf. okenii Led-Z. RNAcentral describes it as "partial 16S-23S ribosomal RNA intergenic spacer". The record is from RNAcentral. Lineage: Bacteria; Bacillati; Cyanobacteriota; Cyanophyceae; Oscillatoriales; Microcoleaceae.